AUGAAUGAACUUGGGCGUGGUUGUAGCUGGCCUCAGCGAUGGGGCAUGUGCACGCCGCGUUCAUCCACCCUUCACACCUCUGUGCACUUCUCAUGGGUCGGGUCGCGUCUGAAAUAUGGCGAAGCCCUUCUCAUGUGUUUUACCACACACUAUACAAGUUUUAGAAUGUAACAAUCGUGCAUUAAUGCAUAUAAUA
RNAcentral lists this unclassified non-coding RNA (196 nucleotides) under uncultured fungus. Its description in RNAcentral is "sequence contains ITS1, 5.8S rRNA gene". Lineage: Eukaryota; Fungi. The record is from RNAcentral.